RNAcentral lists this ribosomal RNA (472 nucleotides) under uncultured bacterium. Its description in RNAcentral is "partial 16S ribosomal RNA". It matches the Rfam family "Bacterial small subunit ribosomal RNA", at positions 28 to 507 of the family's 1533-position model. The record is from RNAcentral.
GACGAACGCUGGCGGCGUGCUUAACACAUGCAAGUCGAACGCUGAAGCUUGGUGCUUGCACUGGGUGGAUGAGUGGCGAACGGGUGAGUAAUACGUGAGUAACCUGCCCUUGACUCUGGGAUAAGCCUGGGAAGCUGGGUCUAAUACUGGAUACGAUAUGUCACCGCAUGGUGGUGUGUGGAAAGGGUUUUACUGGUUUUGGAUGGGCUCACGGCCUAUCAGCUUGUUGGUGGGGUAAUGGCUCACCAAGGCGACGACGGGUAGCCGGCCUGAGAGGGUGACCGGCCACACUGGGACUGAGACACGGCCCAGACUCCUACGGGAGGCAGCAGUGGGGAAUAUUGCACAAUGGGCGGAAGCCUGAUGCAGCGACGCCGCGUGAGGGAUGACGGCCUUCGGGUUGUAAACCUCUUUCAGCACGGAAGAAGCGAGAGUGACGGUACGUGCAGAAGAAGCGCCGGCUAACUACGUG